CUUUUACACAGCCACAGGAACCAAAAGCAUUUUGAAAGAGGGCAUGCAGGGAGCAGAGAAAGCCCUGGGUGAGUGAAGGCCUGAGUGGAUGUGUCACGUCAGGGACCCUAAUGCCUCGGGUCCAUGGAGCCUUCCCCAGGCCCCAGCUGUUCGGAAUGCGCUCAGAACAUGAUACCCCAAGACACGGUACGGAGCCCUUGGCACUGAAGAGGGUGGUGUGCAGAGGCCCUGGGCAGCAAAACCUCUCUCAGCCUCGUCAGCCCUCCUGGCUCUGCUCCUCUUUCCCACAGAAACCCGGAAACACCACACGAGCGCCCCACCUCGCAAAGUCCUCUGGCUGCAGAGUGCAGAGAUCAAGCUAACAAAACCAGCCGGCCUCCCAGCGGGCAGCACUAAGCAUGGGAGGGAGCAGGAAGUG
Peromyscus leucopus (white-footed mouse) is the source of this 418-nucleotide long non-coding RNA. RefSeq lists it as uncharacterized. The transcript has 3 exons. Lineage: Eukaryota; Metazoa; Chordata; Mammalia; Rodentia; Cricetidae. The record is from RefSeq and is a predicted model, not a curated record.